RNAcentral lists this ribosomal RNA (920 nucleotides) under uncultured Bacillota bacterium. RNAcentral describes it as "bacterial SSU rRNA". It matches the Rfam family "Bacterial small subunit ribosomal RNA", at positions 1 to 917 of the family's 1533-position model. The record is from RNAcentral. Lineage: Bacteria; Bacillati; Bacillota.
UGGAUCCAGACUUUGAUUAUGGCUCAGGACGAACGCUGGCGGCGUGCCUAAUACAUGCAAGUCGAACGGAGAUAUACGCUGAAGAGUAGUUCGCUAUGAUUCUUGUGUAUCUUAGUGGCGGACGGGUGGGUAACGCGUGAGCAACCUGCCUUUCAGAGGGGGAUAACGUUUGGAAACGAACGCUAAUACCGCAUGAUACUGCGCUAUCGCAUGGUGGAGCAGUCAAAGGAGCAAUCCGCUGAAAGAUGGGCUCGCGUCCGAUUAGGUAGUUGGCGGGGCAACGGCCCACCAAGCCGACGAUCGGUAGCCGGACUGAGAGGUUGGACGGCCACAUUGGGACUGAGACACGGCCCAGACUCCUACGGGAGGCAGCAGUAAGGGAUAUUGGUCAAUGGGGGAAACCCUGAACCAGCAACGCCGCGUGAGGGAAGACGGUUUUCGGAUUGUAAACCUCUGUCCUCUGUGAAGAUGAUGACGGUAGCAGAGGAGGAAGCUCCGGCUAACUACGUGCCAGCAGCCGCGGUAAUACGUAGGGAGCGAGCGUUGUCCGGAAUUACUGGGUGUAAAGGGUGCGUAGGCGGCUCUGUAAGUCAGAAGUGAAAUCCAUGGGCUUAACCCAUGAACUGCUUUUGAAACUGUGGAGCUUGAGUGAAGUAGAGGUAGGCGGAAUUCCCGGUGUAGCGGUGAAAUGCGUAGAGAUCGGGAGGAACACCAGUGGCGAAGGCGGCCUACUGGGCCUUAACUGACGCUGAGGCACGAAAGCGUGGGUAGCAAACAGGAUUAGAUACCCUGGUAGUCCACGCUGUAAACGAUGAUUACUAGGUGUGGGUGGACUGACCCCAUCCGUGCCGGAGUUAACACAAUAAGUAAUCCACCUGGGGAGUACGGCCGCAAGGCUGCAACUCAAAGGAAUUGACGGA